UGGCUGCCUGGGUGCCAGGGACUCUGAAGCUU
This 32-nucleotide non-coding RNA is filed under the name Homo sapiens (human). Lineage: Eukaryota; Metazoa; Chordata; Mammalia; Primates; Hominidae. The record is from RNAcentral.